CGCUGGCGGCGUGCUUAACACAUGCAAGUCGAACGGAGUGGUCCUCCCGAAGACCUGAUUGAGCUUGCUCUUGAUGGAAUUCAUUUGGAUCACAUAGUGGCGGACGGGUGAGUAACGCGUGGGUAACCUGCCCUAUACUGGGGGAUAGCAGUUGGAAACGACUGAUAAUACCGCAUAAGCGCACAGCAUCGCAUGGUGCAGUGUGAAAAACUCCGGUGGUAUAGGAUGGACCCGCGUCUGAUUAGCUAGUUGGUGAGGUAACGGCCCACCAAGGCGACGAUCAGUAGCCGGCCUGAGAGGGUGUACGGCCACAUUGGGACUGAGACACGGCCCAAACUCCUACGGGAGGCAGCAGUGGGGAAUAUUGGACAAUGGGGGAAACCCUGAUCCAGCGACGCCCGCGUGAGUGAAGAAGUAUCUCGGUAUGUAAAGCUCUAUCAGCAGGGAAGAUAAUGACGGUACCUGACUAAGAAGCACCGGCUAAAUACGUGCCAGCCGCAGC
Molecule: ribosomal RNA, 502 nt
Filed under: uncultured bacterium
Lineage: Bacteria
Description: bacterial SSU rRNA
Rfam family: Bacterial small subunit ribosomal RNA
Source: RNAcentral